UUGGAGGGCAAGUCUGGUGCCAGCAGCCGCGGUAAUUCCAGCUCCAAUAGCGUAUAUUAAAGUUGUUGCAGUUAAAAAGCUCGUAGUUGAAUUUCGGGAUCAGCAAGUUGGUCGUGCCUCUGGUACGUACUGGCUUUACUGGUUCCUCCUUCUUGAAGAACUGUAAUGUCAUUAAUUUGGUGUUGCAGGGAAACAGGACUGUUACUUUGAAAAAAUUAGAGUGUUUAAAGCAAGCUAACGCUUGAACACAUUAGCAUGGAAUAAUGAAAUAGGACGUUUGAUCCUAUUUUGUUGGUUUCUAGGAUUGACGUAAUGAUUAAUAGGGAUAGUUGGGGGCAUUAGUAUUCAAUUGUCAGAGGUGAAAUUCUUGGAUUUAUUGAAGACUAACUACUGCGAAAGCAUUUGCCAAGGAUGUUUUCAUUAAUCAAGAACGAAAGUUAGGGGAUCGAAGACGAUCAGAUACCGUCGUAGUCUUAACCAUAAACUAUGCCGACUAGGGAUCGGAUGAUGUUAAUUUUUUAAUGACUCAUUCGGCGCCUUACGGGAAAC
RNAcentral lists this ribosomal RNA (549 nucleotides) under uncultured Glomeromycotina. RNAcentral describes it as "SSU rRNA". It matches the Rfam family "Eukaryotic small subunit ribosomal RNA", at positions 548 to 1098 of the family's 1831-position model. Lineage: Eukaryota; Fungi; Glomeromycota. The record is from RNAcentral.